RNAcentral lists this unclassified non-coding RNA (201 nucleotides) under soil metagenome. RNAcentral describes it as "partial contains 5.8S ribosomal RNA, internal transcribed spacer 2, and large subunit ribosomal RNA". The record is from RNAcentral.
AACGCACGAGACCUGCGGACCUGCGGAAGGAUCAUUACCUAGAGUUUGUAGACUUCGGUCUGCUACCUCUUACCCAUGUCUUUUGAGUACCUUCGUUUCCUCGGCGGGUCCGCCCGCCGAUUGGACAACAUUCAAACCCUUUGCAGUUGCAAUCAGCGUCUGAAAAAACAUAAUAGUUACAACUUUUAACAACGGAUCUCU